Molecule: long non-coding RNA, 4732 nt
Filed under: Bemisia tabaci
Lineage: Eukaryota; Metazoa; Arthropoda; Insecta; Hemiptera; Aleyrodidae
Description: lncRNA ENSASIAIIG005240
Source: RNAcentral
GAAAUGAGGGUGGCCAGCUUUAUUUCCAGAACGAAAUGAGAGAUCAACAUGUCCAAUCCUGGUCCACCGGUUUCUGUGAGAAACUCUUCGCUUCCGCAGAAUGUGAAUGCGUCCAGGAAUCCAUGGACUGGCCCAUCAUACCAGCAAAUGGUCACCUCAAAUUACUACGAACCAGAAUGUUCAAGCCCCAGUUCAGAAAAUGGGAGUCGCAUCUAUCAUGUGAUAGAUGGACCCGGACCUCCCAUAAACUACGAUGCCAAUGGAACAAAACCUGCAUCCUCAAAAAUUCGCAAACAACCUGCACCAGUACAAAAUCAUCACUUGGUUCCACACCCGCAAGGUGUAACAACAAUGAAGAAGUUACCUCCUCUGGAACAACUCCCUCGCAUGCCGCACCUCCAAGCUAGUCAUGAUUCUGUCCGCGGCCCUCCACAGUUCUACACACGGGACUCAUUUCCCCGACACUUUCGACCACCGAGCCAAGGAGAUUAUCUGGAAGAAAUACGACCACAGCCGCCAUUUUAUAAUGUGGGGAGUGGUCGAACCUCACGGGCCACAUUGGACGUACCACUGUCAUCAACCACUUCCGAUGAUGAUGGAGGAGGGAUUGAUGCUUGCGGCGGACAUUGUGUUGCAUUUGAGAACUUUUGCCACUAUUGUCUCCAGGUUAUUUUCAUAGCAGGAAUUUUAACGGGAAUCUCAUUGAUGAUUGCUGGUUCAAUUCUCAUCGGUCAGCGAGGCAAUGAUGAUAAUCAUUCUGAUUACAUUUACAUUGGUUGUCUCAUGAUGCUUGUUUGUACACUCUUGCUCUCGGUCCAAUGCUGCGUCCGACGUAACGUGAAGCGGCGCAAGCGUGCUUUGCGCCGACAAGCAACUCGACGGAGGCCAUCGUCAGCACACACUUACAACGACCGCAUUCCCCUGAAUGAUAUUUCUCCACCAUCAUCAACAAUUAGAGAAAUAUCUCUACCAUCAUCAACGACAAGGGACAUUUACCCAGUCAAUGGUCAGCUGAGUGCACUGAAUACUCAAAACAUCAGUGUCCAUGACAAACUAAAUUCAACAAUGGAUUCCUCUGCAAGCCAAAGUGGAAUACCUUGGUGGCGCAGACAAGAGUUUGAAGAUCUUAUGCAUCAACACAAUUUUGUAUGAAGAUGACCUUGACAACUGGCCAAAACUGGUUGCUAGAAGAUACCACUUGUACAGAUAAGUUAGCUUUACUUCUGAUCACUAAUCUUUAGGAAUAUACAUCUAAAUCAAAAGACCUUCAUAAUUGUCAUUUCUUCAACAGUACGAGCAUCAAUGAGAGGUCAAUGUCUUCAUAAGCAGCAUUUCCUGCGUAAUUUAUGGUAGAUAAGUGAUCAGACGUAGGCUUUUACAGACAAACCUCCUGCUUAUAUUUGUUAUAUUUUAUUUUUUAUUUCCAAAGAAAAAAUUUAAAGGAGAUGGCUUGAGCUGCUCCAGUUCUCUCAUGUAGGUGUUUAUUUAAUUUGCAGAGUGGGAGCUAAUUUUCAAUUUUCAGUCAACAUGUUUAAGCUGGACUCAAGCUUCAUCAAAUACAUACUAUUCUCCUAGACAAAUAUUCUAUUUGUUUUAGUAUGACGUACAGUCCGCAUCAUUUAAAGCUUCCUUGAAACUUGUAUGAUGAUUUCUGUAACUACAUUAUGAAAUUAUGCAUUUUGACACUAUUUGUUCCUUUUGUUUGUACAUACAUACAUUAAAUACCUUGAGUACUGUAAGUAAGAAGCCUUUUAAUCGGUUCUUUUCUACUUUCAAAUGAGCGAGUUAUUAAAUUUUACUGUAAAUACAUACGUGUAAAUUGAAAAAGAUUAGAAGUUGCUUGUUUUUCAGCUAGCAAGCAUUUUCCCCUCUUAUUUUCUGUUUCUUCUUUUCAUAAUUGUACUGACCUAUUUGUAACUGGUGGGAAUUCAAUCAGAUUUGACCUAACUUUAAACAUCUGAUCAUUUUUAAAUGAGGUGCUCUCAAAAACCAAGGAUGGAUAGUUCGAAAGCACAGAAUUCGAUUCUCUAUUUUCCCUACUCAUAAUAUGGGUAGACGUUCAAAACAGUCUAAAUUUUUUUCAUUCAUAUAUGAAAUGAAGACAAGUUCACAGCAUAAAUGGAACAGAUAAACAUGAAAUGCAAGUUCUUUCAUCUAGAUUGAUAUGAACAGCUGAUACUUUCGUACAAUCAAUUUGUAAAAGACAUUGAAACAAUACUAAUAGCUAUAAUUAAAAAUGAAACAGAAAGAUGAAGCUAGCGAGUAUGCGUGAUGGAAAUGGACACUGUGUGUAGGAAGCUUUGGGAAACUGCAUCGCUUUAUUUAUCAAUCAUUUUACUUUAAUUUUUUACUUUUUUAAAACCUAGGCACUGCUUUACAUUGUUCCUUGAACACUGAGAAAUCGAUGGCUGAUAAACAUCACCGAUUAUUUGCCAAUUGAAGAUUUCAUAGGAUGAAGAAAAAACUUCGCCAUUUUGUGAUUUUGAGGUCACGUUAGCGAUUUUUUAUGCAUUAUAGUGUCAUUACAGUGCUCUCAUUUGGGAUUGGAAAAAACUAAAAAACACCAGCUUGCAUAUUAUUACUGUAGAAUGCGGCAAAGACUCCAACUAAUUUUGCCUAAAUUGUCAGCCGAGCGAUAUUGUUCCUUAGCCUAGAAAUUUAACUCAUGUAUUGUAAUUGAUUUUACAACUAAUUAACUGUGAUAAAGUAAAUCGGAAAGGAGAACUGACUAGUAUAAUGUUCACAAGUUAUCAUCACCCUUUAAUAUAAUUUCUCCAGUAUUUUGAAUAGAAAAUACUAAAGAGAGAGAAUGAAAAAAUUAUACACGCUAAUCAGUCCUGUAUCAAAUUUUCUGGAUCUUCUGCUCUUUCUCUCAAAUUUUUUGAAUCACGGUUUGAAGUAGCAGAAGAAUCAUCUGAAGUACUAAAAACUUCUUUUAUCGAGCUUUAAGAGUAUUUACUGAAGUAGUCAAUUGUAAUUCAAGGAACCCACUUACAAAUUGGAAACUGUCACCCUCUCCUUAUUUUUUUAUUUAUGAUGUAAUAUCUAUCUCUACUUAUGGAAUGGUUUCAUAGCAGUUCUACCCACAGAGAAAAAGAAAGAGUCUUAGUUGCCAAAAUUUUUAUUUGAACUGGAAUGUAACCAACCUUGUUACAGGUUGUUUCAAGUCAAUGCCUCCUAAUUCUGCAUUUUCACUUUGGUGACAUUUUUGCUCAAGAUUUUCUCUUUUAAAGUAAUGAAAUUUAAUUAAUUUAUUUUGAUCAUAUUUUUCUAAUACUCUCUAUGGCUCCCGAAGAUUCAUUUAAUUUUUGUCAGUUCUAUUGCAAGUAACCUUUGCCGAUGGACUUAAAUUAACUCAGAGAAUUUAAGAAUUAUUAUUCGGUUAUUCUAUUGGUAGUAUCAUACCAAAGUGCUCAAUGUUUAGGCUCUCAAAUAUCUAAGUUUUUCACGUUUUUACUGAAAUUUAUUCUGUCUUAUUUUUAUAUUUUUUUAAUACUUUCCACUAUUUUCAACACCUAAUUGUAAGUAUGUAUUUUAGAAUUGUUCAAUUUUCAUGGACAAAUGUUGGCAUCCACAUAUUUUUACUUCAAUGUAGCUCAUUAUAAAAUACCUGACCAGCAAUGGUAAUUCAGUGGUAAAUAUGCCAAUAAGCAUGUGCCAAUAAAUUAGGUAGUUGGUUUCUAAUUCUAUCUAAUACCCCCCUCACUCACAAGAUAAUGGGGCCAUGUGUAUCACUUCAAUUUUACAAACACAGUUUUUAAGAAAUGUUUUUUCUGAAUACGUCACAAAAAGUGUGAUAAAUUUUAUGUCUCGUAAUUAGAAAAAAAUGUUUGUUUUGGAAAGUUUGGUUCAAACCUUAAAACAAUGGAUCAAAGUCUGAAAGAAUGACUCCAGAAAUAAAGUCAAAGGAAAAAGAUGUGUGUAUCUUCUUUAUUAAAUAGCUAAUCAAGACUAGGAACGGAGUCCAUAUUAUAUUGAUAAUAAAAAUACUCUAAGGAAGAAUUUUGUUCCACCUCAGAGCCAUUUUCAAACACUUCUAAGACCUCAGUUUUGUGAUCAAUUUGAUUUUAACUGCCAGUCCCCUUUCCAUCGAACUGAUUUUUUAAAAUAAUUUUUCCUAGCUGACGAUUCUUUUUUAGAAACCAUUUACACUAAAAUUGCCUCUUCUUUCAGUGCCUUUUAAUAAAGUUGAAAAAGUUAUUUGUUUCAAUUCGUGCCCCUUUGAUUUUGGUGUAUUGUAAAUUAUUAUUUUAUUUUUUUGUAACUUAAUUUGAUAGCAUACUUAUUUUUGUACAGAUCCAUUAGUCAAGAUCGCAGUAUGAAAAAUCCUUAUUUUUAUUCUCUUUUGUAAAAAUAAACCAUUUACUUUUAUUUACUUAGGUAAUUUUUUUAAAAAUAUUUAAUAAACUUGACUCUCUUUACUUUAAAAAUAGCUGCCUUUUCUUCUCUACUCUUCUUCCUUGUAAUAGUCCCUUCUAUUAUAUACACGUAUUUAUGCUAAAAGGAACUAUGUGCGCCAAUAUUGUUCCUUUUAGUGUGAAUAUAUCCAAAUAGGUUUUCUAUUUGUUUUCAAACUGUUUUUUUUCCAAUUCUUCAAAUCAAUUCUUAGUGGUUGUUCUGAUUUUCAAGGGUUUUUUUUUCUUCUUUUUUUUUUUCUAUUUAACCCACCCUUCAAGCUUCAAGACUUUAAUAACAAACCACACCCAUGAGUAAGACAAAAAAACGAAGCCUU